Molecule: long non-coding RNA, 1437 nt
Organism: Spinacia oleracea (spinach)
Lineage: Eukaryota; Viridiplantae; Streptophyta; Magnoliopsida; Caryophyllales; Amaranthaceae
Exons: 10
Source: RefSeq, a predicted model, not a curated record
GAAACAAGGGCACCUUAACCUAAGUCUUUCAUUUUUCACGCAAAGAACAUCAGCCUUCAAUUCCCUUCUGUACUACUCACGUUUCCUUCUCUCGUCCACACUCAAACUCCGGCCACCAUCACCGCGCACCAUCACCACCGACGUUUGGCCCUUCUUCUUUACCGGCCUCCAACCACCGGCGCGGCGCAGUGCUUCCUCACCGUCGUUCUUCGCUGGCCUCCAACUAUAUAGGGCUGUUCUUCACGGCCUAGCCAGCUGCGUCACUUCACCGGCGACGAGGCACUAGGUCAAUUUAUGAGUUGGGGGAUAUUGAAAUGUGAUUCUGCUUGCAUAUGCUACUGAAUUUCUGUUGGGAUGGUGAUGGGGUGCUUUUUUGGGGAGCAUGCCGAAUUUUACUCUCAAAUGAUUAUCCGUGGGGGUCUACGGUUGUCUAUUGAACCAGACUCAAAUACUGUUUGAACUAAACUGGGAGUAAUGCAACAUUUUUGUAGUGGCUUUUUUCCGAGUUGUGAUGAACUUGUGGAACAUGGAGCUUCUGUUGGAGAAACACCUGCAGCUGUGGUCAGGAAGUGCAAGUAUACGACUGCAAUGUUGUCUGAUCCAUCAGCCGCCAUUUCGGUUGCUUUUGAUAAAGCUCGGGUCCUUGAGGAAAUCUGCAAUGGGAAAGGCUAUAUUGAUAUGUAAACUGUCGAUGCAGAUACAUCCGUAAAGAUCAGUGAGGUUUGAACUUUGAAGUGUACUAGUGAAAACUCGGUCUAGAUAACUUGUGCGCCUGGAAAAUUCAAGUUGAUUACCAGUAUGGUAGUAUGUGAUAAGAUUUUACGAGCAAGAUAGCCAAGAAAUCAAAGCAUGAUGAAAAAGAAGCAAAGAAACUGCAGGACAAUGUACACUCUUUGCAGCUAAGACUUUCUGCCAGAGAGCAUAUAUGCAGAAAUCUCCAAGAGAAGAGUGUUGAUGAAAAUGAAUGUCAAAAAAGCGCACUUCCUCAAUGGAAAUCAAUUAAGUGCGCCCAACAAGAGGGUAGGGUCGAGUGUGGCUAUUACGUGAUGAAAUUCAUGCAUGACAUAUUCAAAAGUUGCAAGGAAGUUCAAGAUCUGGAAAAGUGUCACGUCGUCCUUGCUGCUCAGCCGCCACCACCGCCGGAUUUCCUCACCGCCGCCUGCCGCCGUACUCACCGCCAGCACAACCACCUUGUCGUCGCCUGACCGCGGCCCUGUGCACGCCAAACACCAUCACCGGUGCGCCGCCGUGCCCCACCUCACCGUCGUUCCACCACUGCCGCGCCUGUGCUCCGCCGGCCAGCAUCUCCUUGAUUCUUUAUUUGGUUAAUUUCUUAAACCCUAAGUAAAAUAAUUAUUUUAAUUGUAGUUUGUUAAUUUAAUUUAUGCUUUGAUUUAAUAAAUUUAUGAUUUUUAUGACUUAAUUAGAAUUUCAGAU